This is a long non-coding RNA of Corapipo altera (White-ruffed manakin), 297 nucleotides long. RefSeq lists it as uncharacterized. The transcript is spliced from 3 exons. The record is from RefSeq and is a predicted model, not a curated record. Lineage: Eukaryota; Metazoa; Chordata; Aves; Passeriformes; Pipridae.
GACCCCUCUGCUGUCACCAUCUGGGGCCACACGAGGGUUAUGGGUGCAGGAGGGGGGAUGUCACCUCCCUGCUGACCCGGGGACCCCCUUCCCUCCCAAAAUCCCCCCCAGGGGUUCUGGUGGAGCCCGAAAUCUGCUACGUGUUGGACGCCGUCCUCUUCCUCUACGGCCUCGUCCUCACCGGCCUCUACUGCCGCCUCAAGUUCCAGGCUCGGCGAGCGCGGCGAGCACCGGAGCAGAAAAGGGAAGAGGCCGUUUAUGCUGUGAGUCAGAGUGGGGGGUGUCUGUCUGUCUGUC